GACGAACGCUGGCGGCGUGCUUAACACAUGCAAGUCGAACGAUGAACCCGGAGCUUGCUCCGGUGGAUUAGUGGCGAACGGGUGAGUAACACGUGAGUAACCUGCCCUUGACUCUGGGAUAACUGCGGGAAACUGUAGCUAAUACCGGAUACGACCCUCGGCGGCAUCGCCAGGGGGUGGAAAGAAUUUCGGUCAAGGAUGGACUCGCGGCCUAUCAGCUAGUUGGUGAGGUAACGGCGCACCAAGGCGACGACGGGUAGCCGGCCUGCGAGGGUGACCGGCCACGCUGGGACUGAGACACGGCCCAGACUCCUACGGGAGGCAGCAGUGGGGAAUAUUGCACAAUGGGCGCAAGCCUGAUGCAGCAACGCCGCGUGAGGGAUGACGGCCUUCGGGUUGUAAACCUCUUUUAGUAGGGAAGAAGCGAAAGUGACGGUACCUGCAGAAAAAGCACCGGCUAACUACGUGCCAGCCGCCGCAGUAA
RNAcentral lists this ribosomal RNA (484 nucleotides) under uncultured bacterium. Its description in RNAcentral is "partial 16S ribosomal RNA". It matches the Rfam family "Bacterial small subunit ribosomal RNA", at positions 28 to 523 of the family's 1533-position model. The record is from RNAcentral.